RNAcentral lists this ribosomal RNA (723 nucleotides) under uncultured Bacilli bacterium. Its description in RNAcentral is "bacterial SSU rRNA". It matches the Rfam family "Bacterial small subunit ribosomal RNA", at positions 59 to 755 of the family's 1533-position model. The record is from RNAcentral. Lineage: Bacteria; Bacillati; Bacillota; Bacilli.
AAGUCGAACGCUUGUCUUUCACCGGAGCUUGCUUCACCGAAAGAAAAGGAGUGGCGAACGGGUGAGUAACACGUGGGUAACCUGCCCAUCAGAAGGGGAUAACACUUGGAAACAGGUGCUAAUACCGUAUAACAAUCGAAACCGCAUGGUUUCGGUUUGAAAGGCGCUUUUGCGUCACUGAUGGAUGGACCCGCGGUGCAUUAGCUAGUUGGUGAGGUAACGGCUCACCAAGGCAACGAUGCAUAGCCGACCUGAGAGGGUGAUCGGCCACAUUGGGACUGAGACACGGCCCAAACUCCUACGGGAGGCAGCAGUAGGGAAUCUUCGGCAAUGGACGGAAGUCUGACCGAGCAACGCCGCGUGAGUGAAGAAGGUUUUCGGAUCGUAAAACUCUGUUGUUAGAGAAGAACAAGGAUGAGAGUAGAAUGUUCAUCUCUUGACGGUAUCUAACCAGAAAGCCACGGCUAACUACGUGCCAGCAGCCGCGGUAAUACGUAGGUGGCAAGCGUUGUCCGGAUUUAUUGGGCGUAAAGCGAGCGCAGGCGGUUUCUUAAGUCUGAUGUGAAAGCCCCCGGCUCAACCGGGGAGGGUCAUUGGAAACUGGGAAACUUGAGUGCAGAAGAGGAGAGUGGAAUUCCAUGUGUAGCGGUGAAAUGCGUAGAUAUAUGGAGGAACACCAGUGGCGAAGGCGGCUCUCUGGUCUGUAACUGACGCUGAGGCUCG